RNAcentral lists this transfer RNA (82 nucleotides) under Lactobacillus helveticus H10. Its description in RNAcentral is "tRNA-Tyr". Lineage: Bacteria; Bacillati; Bacillota; Bacilli; Lactobacillales; Lactobacillaceae. The record is from RNAcentral.
UGGAGGAGGGUGGAUUCGAACCGCCGAACUCAGAGAGAGCGGUUUUACAGACCGCCGCGUUUAGCCACUUCGCUACUCCUCC